ACUGCUCCACUUUAAUUUAAUUUUUAGUGCUUUAUUUGAAAACCAAUUUCACUCCUUCAGAAGGCCCUGGUCUACUGUAAUGUGUACACUCUAAAUGAUAUUAACAGUGCUUCUAGUAAUUUGUAUCCAGUGAUCUUCUGAAUGACAUUUGCCAUAAUAUCAUGAGCAAAGAUAUCAACUGGCCUAUCUCAGCUGACAUUAAAUCAAAUUGUCCAGUCAAAUCUAAGAUGUCACAAUUCUUCUUUUCCAAUAUCUUGAUUUUAGGUUUCCAUAGAACGUUUAACCAUAUAAAGUAAAAUGCCAGAUUAAUACAUAGACACUGACUAGACAACAAUGAGAGCUUAAUCAGCUUGGUAAUUGUUCGUGGUUUUGAUUCUUUUCUUCAUUCACUCUCUUCCUCCUAACUCUGGUAAAAAUCCUACCCAAUAAGUCAUUCACUGAAGCAAUUAAAUUCCUGCGGUCGGCCAGGUCUGGUUGGGAGUAGUGCUCCAUCACAUCACGGUGUGGUAGCUGCAGCGGCUCUCUGUGACUUAUUGUCUUGUUGCAACAUUCAUUAAAGAAAAACCUCUUUGUUGGCUCAGAUUCUUGUGGUAAGAAGACUGGCAAAAUCCCAAAUACGCUGUUCCUAUUUUAUUGGAGUUUGGGAAAUAAAAUCACUGAAUUACAACAGUUUAGUUAAAAGGCAAUCCUUUUAGUCCAGAUAUUGAGGUACCAUAUGUGUUAUGUGAUCUGUGCUCAUUCUUUAGCAAGGUUGUAAGGGACUCUAAAAGCAUGUUUCUGUUCACUUUUGCUGCAUGUAGCUGUGUAACACUAUACUAGUGAGCUUUCUUAAUCUUUUAUUUAGGUUAAUUGAAAAGUAAAAAAAAUGCUAUUACCAGUUUUAGGCUAUCGAAAACAUUUUUUUUUGGGAUUUUCCCUCUUUUGUCAUCUUGCUGAAUCAUGGUUUUGCACAGAAUCACCACCAUGUGUGACAGUGAUUCACUUCCAUUCUGAUUUACAUGUUGGUGUGUGCAUGUGUGUACUGUUGUCAGCAUCUAAGACCCAUCUCUGGGAAUUCAGGCUGCUCUAUUUUUGUGCUUCCCAUUUCUCAUCAAUAUUUCACUCUUUCCUUGACUCAUUCCCUCCCUCUUCUCUCAGAAUAAGGUGUUAUCUAUGCUCUACCAAACACCAUUGAUGGACUGGUUGGCUGGAUGGAAUCCCACUGGGACCGUAUGAGUUGCGUCUGGUACUACAGGGAAACUGCCUCUGCCAGAUGGCUGCAAACAAUCCUUUUGCUAUUUUUUAACCUUUAUUUACACACAGUUGGUUGACAGAGUCCAACACAUGCUUACACAUUUUUCGUCUAUUCACAAAGGACUUGUCCAGCACAACUAUGCCUUGACACUGGGUCAUUUAGCUAAUUCAUGGGUGCAGCAAGAGCCAAGGGCAGGUCAAACUAUUCUAACAGUUGAAUGUAUUUUUUUCCAAUUCCCCUGCUUCAAAUCAUACGUCCCUGCUGUGUCAGUUCCAGCAGCCCCGUCAACACUAAUGUCACUGCAGAGAAAAAAAGAGACAGUGGGGUUAAAUGGGCAGGGACCUCAUGUGGUGCGCCAUAAUGGCUGCAUACCGUCACACAAAUGAGUAAGGGCGGACAGUACAAACCUACCAGGAACUCCAAACCUUUAACCCAAAACAGAAACUCAUCGUUUUACAUCACCAUUGUUUAAAUUAUCCUUACUUGCACAAUACUAUUUAUUACUUAUUGGUUUUACAGCAACAUUAUAAAAGUGUGUAUUUUCAUUCUCUUACAAUGAUUUUGUAAUUUGAAAAAUAAGACCAUGAUAAAUUACUUUGAAACUUGUUCUUAAACUGCUAAAAUCUGUUCAUAAGGAUGUAAAAAAAAAAUGUAAAAACAUAUAAAAGGGGAAAAAAUUAAUUGUAUAAGUGCACACAACCUAAAAUAAAUGCUUCAUUGUACAACCUCAGAUUUCUACAAAAACAUUAUUUCUAAUUUAUUUCAGGACCUCUCUGUGCAAGCCAUUCUAUUGUUGAUUUGAAUGUAUACUUGGACUUACUGUGACGAGUAAGAAUUAAAUCUUUCUUAAUGUUCUUCCCCAAAAUUGACAAAAAACUUUGGCAAAGUUCAAGGUUUCCUCAGACCUUUGAACAUGAGGUAUUAAACAUGGAUAUUUUAAUAUUUAAAAUGAGACCAAUGACUCGUGGCCACUAUAUAAAGCAGCAUGAUAGUAUCAUAAUGUCUGUUUGUGAGACCAAUGCUUAGGCCAAAACUACGGCUGACAGAUGGGCAUAUAAAUGGUUUAUUGACACAACAGAGAAAAUAAAUGUUUCUUCCAGGUUCCAGAGUGGGCUCCAUGAUGGAACUAAGGCAGAGACAUUAAUGGUUACCUUACAAUGUGCUAUUUGAUAAUAUUUGCAAGGAUGAUGAAGAAAAGUCUUACUAUUGUCAAAGCAGAGGAGGAUCCUGACAGAGAGGUGAGUGUAUCCACAGGAACUGAAGUUGGCAAGUUAUGGUGGGUGGAGUCGUUUCCUGAUUUUGUUUGUUUCCUUGUUCCAGAGAGAAGAUUGAGAUGACAGUGAAGCGAUGGAGGGUGGACAUACUGACUUAUGAGGGUUGUACGGAGAGAUCCAAGUGACCCAUCCGAGGAGGAGUGGGAGGAAAUUCUAAAGAGGAGAUGCAAAGAUUCUCUCAUUCACGGAUGAGCUCGAGCACAAACACUUCCUCACAUCUUCGGCUGCGCGCACAUAUUGUGAAGGCUCGCGACCCUGUGCACAUAUUGUUAUUAAACUGCUGCUUGUUGAAUGGUGGAUAGUGGUGCUUGCCUGGAGGAAAGGACAGUAGUUAAACCAGCACUGAUUUACUUUCUGUACAAUGGAAGUAAAAUCAAUUUCAAAACCCAUUACCUGUAUGGGUGAUUUAAAGGCAAUCUGAGAAAGCAAAAGUGUUUUAUCACCUAUUUCAUCAAUUUCUCCUUGUGUUUAUUUGUGUGGGUGUUUGCUUUUUGUUUCUUAAGCAGUGCAUAUAUUUUAUUAAGUGCUUCCUGAAAGUUAUGGUAAUUGAAAAAAAUGGCUCCACGUGUUACAUUGGCAUUUCAGAAUUAUUUAAUGGUUAUGCUAGAUCAACCAAAUAUAACACAAAGCUGCGUUGGACUCACUGUAACUUGUGAGGGACCAACAUUACAUCUGCUCCAUGCUGCGUUAGUUUAGGUUGUUGCUUUUUGCCAAACCAACAGGAGUGAUGAAACUGGGUCCGCCACAGUAACAAGCUCUCUAAUAACUAAAGUCAUCUUCAUCUCUUUUAGCCUCACCUGAACUUUGAUUCAACUUUAUUACAUCUGUACUGUCACUUUGGUCAAACUAUUACAGAGAAAAGUCAUAGUUCUAUAUGUGCUGCACAUGGAUUAUGGCGUUAUAAAUAUGUGUUCAGCAUGCCGUAUUGAUGUCUGCGUGGCUUGUUAAUCUGCUGCUUAAACUGUCACAUUCUUUUUUUGAAAUAAAGGUUUUUGCUGCGUUUGCAGCAUGUCUGA
This is a long non-coding RNA of Fundulus heteroclitus (mummichog), 3524 nucleotides long. RefSeq lists it as uncharacterized. The record is from RefSeq and is a predicted model, not a curated record. NCBI's taxonomy places the organism in Eukaryota, Metazoa, Chordata, Actinopteri, Cyprinodontiformes, Fundulidae. The transcript has 2 exons.